GGCUUCGUAGUUCAAGUGGUUAGAGUGCUAGCUGUACUAAAGCCAUCCCUUUGCUGUCGUGGGUUCGAAUCCCACUGGGGCCA
This 83-nucleotide transfer RNA is filed under the name Schistocephalus solidus. It matches the Rfam family "tRNA". From Rfam's summary of the family: Transfer RNA (tRNA) molecules are approximately 80 nucleotides in length. Lineage: Eukaryota; Metazoa; Platyhelminthes; Cestoda; Diphyllobothriidea; Diphyllobothriidae. The record is from Rfam by way of RNAcentral.